CCUACGGGUGGCAGCAGUGAGGAAUAUUGGUCAAUGGACGCAAGUCUGAACCAGCCAUGCCGCGUGCAGGAAGACGGCUCUAUGAGUUGUAAACUGCUUUUGUACGAGGGUAAACUCAGAUACGCGUAUCUGUCUGAAAGUAUCGUACGAAUAAGGAUCGGCUAACUCCGUGCCAGCAGCCGCGGUAAUACGGAGGAUUCAAGCGUUAUCCGGAUUUAUUGGGUUUAAAGGGUGCGUAGGCGGUCGGCUAAGUUAGAGGUGAAAUCCCGAGGCUCAACUUCGGAAUUGCCUUUGAUACUGUUAGGCUAGAGAGUAGUUGAGGUAGGCGGAAUGGAUGGUGUAGCGGUGAAAUGCUUAGAGAUCAUACAGAACACCGAUUGCGAAGGCAGCUUACCAAGCUACUUCUGACGUUGAGGCACGAAAGCGUGGGGAGCAAACAGGAUUAGAUACCCUAGUAGUC
This 460-nucleotide ribosomal RNA is filed under the name uncultured bacterium. RNAcentral's name for it is "partial 16S ribosomal RNA". It matches the Rfam family "Bacterial small subunit ribosomal RNA", at positions 338 to 795 of the family's 1533-position model. The record is from RNAcentral.